This 497-nucleotide ribosomal RNA is filed under the name uncultured bacterium. Its description in RNAcentral is "partial 16S ribosomal RNA". It matches the Rfam family "Bacterial small subunit ribosomal RNA", at positions 28 to 507 of the family's 1533-position model. The record is from RNAcentral.
GAUGAACGCUGGCGGCGUGCCUAAUACAUGCAAGUCGAGCGAACAGACGAGGAGCUUGCUCCUCUGACGUUAGCGGCGGACGGGUGAGUAACACGUGGAUAACCUACCUAUAAGACUGGGAUAACUUCGGGAAACCGGAGCUAAUACCGGAUAAUAUAUUGAACCGCAUGGUUCAAUAGUGAAAGACGGUUUUGCUGUCACUUAUAGAUGGAUCCGCGCCGCAUUAGCUAGUUGGUAAGGUAACGGCCUACCAAGGCGACGAUGCGUAGCCGACCUGAGAGGAUGAUCAGUCACACUGGAACGGAGACACGGUCCAGACUCAUACGGGAGGCAGCAGUGGGGAAUAUUGGACAAUGGGCGAAAGCCUGAUCCAGCCAUGCCGCGUGUGUGAAGAAGGUCUUCGGAUUGUAAAGCACUUUAAGUUGGGAGGAAGGGCAGUAAGUUAAUACCUUGCUGUUUUGACGUUACCAACAGAAUAAGCACCGGCUAACUUCGUG